Molecule: RNase P RNA, 375 nt
Filed under: Euzebyales bacterium
Lineage: Bacteria; Bacillati; Actinomycetota; Nitriliruptoria; Euzebyales
Description: RNase P RNA component class A
Rfam family: Bacterial RNase P class A
About the family: Ribonuclease P (RNase P) is a ubiquitous endoribonuclease, found in archaea, bacteria and eukarya as well as chloroplasts and mitochondria. Its best characterised activity is the generation of mature 5'-ends of tRNAs by cleaving the 5'-leader elements of precursor-tRNAs.
Source: RNAcentral
GGAGCCGGCCAGGCGACCGCGUCGGGACUCGUUCCCGCCGAGGAAAGUCCGGACUCCGCAGGGCAGGACGCUGGGUAACCCCCAGGCGCGGCGACGCGUGGCAAGUGCAACAGAGAGCAGACCGCCAGGGGCCCCCGUCCGCGGGGGUACCGGUGAGGGUGAAAGGGUGCGGUAAGAGCGCACCGGCGCCGGCGGUGACGUCGGCGGCCAGGCAAACUCCCGUCCGGAGCAAGGCCGAGCAGGUGCGUCAGCAGGUGGCCCGCCGAGCAUCGGGUAGGCCGCUGGAGGUCGUCGGCAACGACGAUCGUAGAGAGAUGGUCGCCCCGCGCCCUCCACGGGCGCGGACAGAAUCCGGCUUACCGGCCGACUCCCUCA